GAUGAAGAACGUAGCGAAAUGCGAUACUUGGUGUGAAUUGCAGAAUCCCGUGAACCAUCGAGUCUUUGAACGCAAGUUGCGCCUCAAGCCAUUAGGUUGAGGGCACGUCUGCCUGGGCGUCACAUAUCGUUGCCUGAUGCCAGUUUCCUCGUGAUGGGUGACUGUGCAGGGCGAAUGAUGGCUUCCCGUGGGCAUUGUUGCCUCAUGGUUGGUUGAAAAUUGAGUCCUUGGUAGGGAGCGCCGUGAUAGAUGGUGGUUGAGUGACGAACGAGACCCAAUCAUGUGAGACCCCUACCGAAUUUGGCCUUCAUGACCCACAUGCGUCUUUGGAACGCUCAUGACGAGACCUCAGGUCAGGCGGGGCUACCCGCUGAGUUUAAGCAUAUCAAUAAGCGGAGGA
This 400-nucleotide unclassified non-coding RNA is filed under the name soil metagenome. RNAcentral describes it as "partial contains 5.8S ribosomal RNA, internal transcribed spacer 2, and large subunit ribosomal RNA". The stretch from base 1 to 122 matches the Rfam family "5.8S ribosomal RNA", at positions 35 to 154 of the family's 154-position model. The record is from RNAcentral.